This 1680-nucleotide long non-coding RNA is filed under the name Brassica rapa (field mustard). RNAcentral's name for it is "long non-coding RNA (BRAP_LNC003941)". The record is from RNAcentral. Lineage: Eukaryota; Viridiplantae; Streptophyta; Magnoliopsida; Brassicales; Brassicaceae.
GUUCCCUCAACUACAAUUGUUUCAGCUGCUAAUAAAGCAGUCUUUGCUAGCAUAUCAGCCUGACCAUUUCUCUCCCGAGAAAUCCAGACAAAGGAGACAAACUCGAAAAUAGACGCAAAAGAUAUAAUAUCAGCAAGAAUUCCAUAGAGCUCAGGUAUGCAUCUUCCAGAGUUUAAAGCAUCUAUUAGCUGGGACGAGUCCGCCUCGAAACAAACCACCUUCAGCUCUUCUCUAGUUCCUGCUUUGACAGCUUCAAACAGUGCUAAAGCUUCCGCCAUUGGAGCUGAAGUCACUUGAGAGGUACUACAUUUGAACGUCCUAAUACCUGAAGGGGAGUGGAUAACCCAGCCUAAACCCGCCGCUGUGCCUCGAGGGUUCCAGGCUGCAUCGGAUCUGAUGGUCACCGCACCAGGUGGGAGGUGGGCUUCUGGCAUCUUUCUUUGGAGGUGAGAAGGCUUCUGCUCCUUUCGCUGCUGGGAGUCCCAUUCUUUUGCUAAAGAUAUCGCUGUUGAUAGGGUGUCCUCUGGCGAUCCCGAAUGGCCUUCAAAGACAAAUUUGUUGCGCGCUUUCCACAAGUGCCAGAGGAUCCACGGAGCAAGUGUAUCAGAGACUACCCCCGAGGGGGGGAGACAAGUUUUGGAGCAGAUAGCCGCCCAAUUUGCUGCCAAAUCUACCAUUCCGCUGCUCUCCACCUCGGCCUUGAAAGGCGCAAGACUCCACACCUUUUGGGCAUAUGGACAGUGAAAGAACAGAUGAAUUAUAGAUUCGGAGCCUCCACAGCGCUUACAUCGCGGGUCUAGCGGCACAUGACGCUCAACUAGUCGUUCGCCCACAGGAAGAGCACCUUUUAGCAGCUUCCAAGAGAAGAGCUUAACUUUUGGAGCUACAUCGAGUCUCCAGAUGCUCUUAUUCCAGUUGAUAGGAUCUUCUCCUGCAAGUGCAUUUCCAGCCUCAAGAAAGUCUACUGCAGAGAAAUACCCUGACUUGACGGAGUACUCUCCUAUCUUCGUUCCCAGCCAAAUAAGUUUAUCCGGAGCCCCGGUUUGGCUUGUCCUUAUCCUCUGUAUCUUUUCCUCAUACCCAGGGAGGUAGAGUUGAAUUUUUUGCAGGUCCCAGUCACACGAUUCAGCCUGCAACAGGUCUGAAACCUUGAGCUCCAAGAGAGAUUCACAUACUGGUCCCAUUGGUCUUUCUUUGUGACAGGGGUUUAGCCAUGGGUCUCUCCAAACCGAGAUAGACUGGCCAUUGCCUACUAGCCAUCCCAUGUUCUUAAUCAACAGGUCCCUCCCCUUCAAAAUACUUCGCCAUCCAUGCGACAUAGCUGAGGAUUCAGAAGCGAGAAGGAUGUUAUUUUGAGGGCAAUAUUUUCCGAAAAGCACUCUACCAAGCAGGCAGUUGGGAUUUUGUAGCAAGCGCCAGCCCACUUUUGCUAGUAAUGCAACAUUAUAGCUUUGAAAAUCCCGGAAGCCCAAACCUCCUGCUGCUUUCGGUUUAGCCAUCGAGUCCCACGAAAUCCAUGCCAUCUUCCGGGUGCUUUCAUUGUUAUCCCACCAGUAUCUCGUCACUGCAGAUUGCAGACGAUUGCAGAGCGAGACUGGCAGUUCAAAGUACGACAUGGAGUAGGAAGGAACUGCUGUUAAGACACUUUGGAUCAUGACCAAUUUCCCUGCUGAAGAUAAG